RNAcentral lists this ribosomal RNA (465 nucleotides) under uncultured bacterium. Its description in RNAcentral is "bacterial SSU rRNA". It matches the Rfam family "Bacterial small subunit ribosomal RNA", at positions 28 to 508 of the family's 1533-position model. The record is from RNAcentral.
GACGAACGCUGGCGGCGUGCUUAACACAUGCAAGUCGAACGAUAAGGCCCCUUCGGGGGUACACGAGUGGCGAACGGGUGAGUAACACGUGAGCAACCUGCCCUUGACACUGGAAUAACAGUUGGAAACAGCUGCUAAUACCGGGUAUGACACAUUCUCGCAUGGGGGUGUGUGGAAAGCCCUGGCGGUCAAGGAUGGGCUCGCGGCCUAUCAGCUAGUUGGUGAGGUAAUGGCUCACCAAGGCUUCGACGGGUAGCCGGCCUGAGAGGGCGACCGGCCACACUGGGACUGAGAUACGGCCCAGACUCCUACGGGAGGCAGCAGUGGGGAAUAUUGCACAAUGGGCGAAAGCCUGAUGCAGCAACGCCGCGUGCGGGAUGACGGCCUUCGGGUUGUAAACCGCUUUCAGUAGGGACGAAGCUAACGUGACGGUACCUACAGAAGAAGCACCGGCCAACUACGUGC